CGUGUUAACCUAAUCAAAACACGUUCAUCUCGGGCAGUAGUUUUUCGGCGUCUACCAGGAGACUUUCCUGGAAUAACGUUUCUUGGUGUCCGAUGACGUUUCAAGAUUCUGGAUACAGUACACUGGAUAUAGCUACUUUCUCU
Long non-coding RNA from Limulus polyphemus (Atlantic horseshoe crab), 143 nucleotides. RefSeq lists it as uncharacterized. The record is from RefSeq and is a predicted model, not a curated record. NCBI's taxonomy places the organism in Eukaryota, Metazoa, Arthropoda, Merostomata, Xiphosura, Limulidae. The transcript is spliced from 3 exons.